UGUGUGCGUGGUUGCUAGCUGCUGCUGGGCACCAGGCCAUGGCCUCUGCUGUACGCAACUAUGAUUUCUAAAGAAUGCAGUUUGCUUGCUGCUGACCUGUUGAUGUUGCUGCCAGGGAGAAAUAGACAUGGCAUCUGCGGGUCAAUCUUCAGUUGAGAGGCUGGGAAGCACCAAGCAUAUAUCAUUUGGUAAGUAAGGUACAAACUAACUUGUUUAUUGUUUCCAACUUUUCAUGCUUAAUAUUCUGUAUAUUUCAAAUUCUAAUACUAGCAGAUGUGUUUUGCAAGUCGCACGAGGAUUGAGUAAAUUGAUGAUCAUUCAGUCAUCAAGGAGACGAGAACUUGAUGAAAAGAGGCAUUGGAUGCAGCAUAUGGGGCAGUAUUUUGAUCUCAUCUAAUGGAUGUAUUUAUUGUUUGUCCUUAUAACAUGGUAUUUUAUUAAUUAUUUAUCUAUACUUG
Molecule: long non-coding RNA, 458 nt
Filed under: Triticum aestivum (bread wheat)
Lineage: Eukaryota; Viridiplantae; Streptophyta; Magnoliopsida; Poales; Poaceae
Description: long non-coding RNA (TAES_LNC000848)
Source: RNAcentral